UCCGUGCCGUAAGCAUCCCUAAACAAUAAGAUUGUGCGCCAUUGUUGAAAUUUCACCCACCAUAAAUACGCGCGCGUCACUGUUCCUAUCAAUUCCUAUACAACCAUAACUAUUUUUCCGAAAUAAACUUUCUUAGGACUAAUGUUUACUUGAAUAGUGUGUACUCUCCUAGAUAUUGAUGGUUGACUUCGAAGAAAGCCGACUCCUCAAAUGUAUGAAAACGUUCUGAAUAGUGACCCUACGUUAUCAGUCGAGGCAAACUACCAUCUCUCUCAGACCGUCAACGCUUUCGAAAGAUACAAUGAUCACGGAAAUCAUACUUGAAAUCUACAUAAAUCACAGUUUUAAAUAGUGAGAGUGAACAAUAACUUGAAACAUGUAGAGUUAUUCUGUGCUAUUCGGAAUCGUCAACUCUUUUCCGUCCAUCAGUAGGUUUAGAAAUAGAUAAGAAGAUGUUAUGGAUGAAAAAUAUGUUGAGAUCAAAUGGACACUUUUAACGAAUCAACUAUUUAUGAAUUGAUUUAUUUCAACGAAUGAAUUAUUUCACCGUUUAGUGCAGUUCAGUUUCAAUCAACUUAAUUCAGAGUUUACAUGGAUGUGAAUAAGAGCAGACUGAAUGUAACCAGCAUGUUUGAAAAUUAGUGACAAACCGGUAACCAUUUCGCCAUUGAAUUCAAUCUCAGUUCAGUUCAGUUUCAAUCAAUUUAAUUCUAUUAUUUGAAUUUCAAAUUGAAUUUAAAUCAAUUACUUUUUCAUCAAAUCAUU
Long non-coding RNA from Nilaparvata lugens (brown planthopper), 765 nucleotides. RefSeq lists it as uncharacterized. Lineage: Eukaryota; Metazoa; Arthropoda; Insecta; Hemiptera; Delphacidae. The record is from RefSeq and is a predicted model, not a curated record. The transcript is spliced from 3 exons.